This 252-nucleotide ribosomal RNA is filed under the name uncultured Bacteroidales bacterium. Its description in RNAcentral is "partial 16S ribosomal RNA". It matches the Rfam family "Bacterial small subunit ribosomal RNA", at positions 524 to 776 of the family's 1533-position model. The record is from RNAcentral. Lineage: Bacteria; Pseudomonadati; Bacteroidota; Bacteroidia; Bacteroidales.
UACGGAGGAUGCGAGCGUUAUCCGGAUUUAUUGGGUUUAAAGGGUGCGCAGGCGGCGUGUCAAGCAAGCGGUAAAAUAGCGGGGCUCAACCCCGUCGUGCCGUUGAAACUGACACCCUUGAGUGAGCGAGAAGUAUGCGGAAUGCGUGGUGUAGCGGUGAAAUGCAUAGAUAUCACGCAGAACUCCGAUUGCGAAGGCAGCAUACCGGCGCUCAACUGACGCUCAUGCACGAAAGCGUGGGUAUCGAACAGG